RNAcentral lists this ribosomal RNA (439 nucleotides) under uncultured bacterium. RNAcentral describes it as "partial 16S ribosomal RNA". It matches the Rfam family "Bacterial small subunit ribosomal RNA", at positions 339 to 795 of the family's 1533-position model. The record is from RNAcentral.
CUACGGGUGACUGCAGUGAGGAAUAUUGCACAAUGGGGGGAACCCUGAUGCAGCAACGCCGCGUGGAGGAUGACGCAUUUCGGUGUGUAAACUCCUUUUAUAUGUCAAGAAAAUGACGGUAGCAUAUGAAUAAGCACCGGCUAACUCCGUGCCAGCAGCCGCGGUAAUACGGAGGGUGCGAGCGUUACUCGGAAUCACUGGGCGUAAAGGACGCGUAGGCGGGUUGGAAAGUCAGGUGUGAAAUCCUACAGCCUAACUGUAGAACUGCACUUGAAACUUCUAAUCUAGAGUAUGGGAGGGGGAGAUGGAAUUAGUGGUGUAGGGGUAAAAUCCGUAGAUAUCACUAGGAAUACCUAAAGCGAAGGCGAUCUCCUGGAACAUUACUGACGCUAAGGCGUGAAAGCGUGGGGAGCAAACAGGAUUAGAUACCCCAGUAGUC